This 73-nucleotide transfer RNA is filed under the name Aphanothece hegewaldii CCALA 016. It matches the Rfam family "tRNA". From Rfam's summary of the family: Transfer RNA (tRNA) molecules are approximately 80 nucleotides in length. Their secondary structure includes four short double-helical elements and three loops (D, anti-codon, and T loops). Further hydrogen bonds mediate the characteristic L-shaped molecular structure. tRNAs have two regions of fundamental functional importance: the anti-codon, which is responsible for specific mRNA codon recognition, and the 3' end, to which the tRNAs corresponding amino acid is attached (by aminoacyl-tRNA synthetases). tRNAs cope with the degeneracy of the genetic code in two manners: having more than one tRNA (with a specific anti-codon) for a particular amino acid; and 'wobble' base-pairing, i.e. permitting non-standard base-pairing at the 3rd anti-codon position. Lineage: Bacteria; Bacillati; Cyanobacteriota; Cyanophyceae; Chroococcales; Aphanothecaceae. The record is from Rfam by way of RNAcentral.
GGGGAUAUAACUCAGUUGGUAGAGUAUCACAAUGGCAUUGUGAGAGUCAGCGGUUCGAGUCCGCUUAUCUCCA